Molecule: transfer RNA, 85 nt
Filed under: Candidatus Bathyarchaeota archaeon
Lineage: Archaea; Thermoproteati; Candidatus Bathyarchaeota
Description: tRNA-Gly
Rfam family: tRNA
About the family: Transfer RNA (tRNA) molecules are approximately 80 nucleotides in length. Their secondary structure includes four short double-helical elements and three loops (D, anti-codon, and T loops).
Source: RNAcentral
GCCGGGGUGGCAGAGUGGUUAAUGCGCUGGCCUUCCUAGCCAGUGGGCCCUCGGGCCCGCAGGGGUUCAAAUCCCCUCCCCGGCG